Molecule: long non-coding RNA, 2705 nt
Filed under: Sus scrofa (pig)
Lineage: Eukaryota; Metazoa; Chordata; Mammalia; Artiodactyla; Suidae
Description: lncRNA (ENSSSCG00025030628.1, ENSSSCG00035043189.1, ENSSSCG00065027247.1)
Source: RNAcentral
UAUCAGAGAACAGAGCAUAUCAUUAACAUCUCUGCUGCUAAUAUCAAUUCUGGUUGGAAUCACUGUUUUAUGUAUCACGAAGCUCUGGUAUCCAAAGAAAUUUUGCCAGAUCUCAUUGAUGCACUGACAAAUGCCAUGGAAGUUGUUAAUUUUUGUUCAAGGAAGAUCGCUGAGUAGCCAAAUUUGAGCUAUGUUCUGAUCAGAAGCUGGGGCAAAUCAGACCCACUCAUUGUAAAUUAUUCAAGUCUUUGUUAAAAACACGGAGUUCCCCUUGUGGCUCAGCAGGUUGAAAAUCUGACCAGUAUCCAUGAGAAUGGAGAUUCGAUUCCUGGCCUCAAUCAGUGGCUUAAGGAUCCAGCAUUGCCGCAAGCUGUGUUGUAUGUCAUGGAUGUGGCUUAGAUCUGUCGUUGCUGUGGCUGUGGUGUAGGCCUGCAGCUCGGAUUAGAACCCUAGCCUGGGAACUUUCAAAUAUGGCAGGUGUGACCCUAAAAAGAAAAAGAAAAUUACUAAACAUGGGCUAUGCUUAGAAUGAGAAGCACAUUUUCUAGUUGAAAAUCAAUCUCACUCACCAAAUAUUUGAAGAUCAUAUUUGGGCAAUGCAAUUGGCAUAUUUAGUUAAUUUAUGGCAUUCUUUUUAAUUACAUUUGAAACCACAGAGAAGCAUGAUUUCAACACAUUCGGGAUAUGUUAUUAUCUUUUUUGUCUUUUGUCUUUUUAGGACCGCACCUGUGGCAAAUGGAGGUCCCCAGGCUAGGGGUCUAAUCAGAGCUACAGCGGCCUGCCUACACCACAGCCACAGCAACGCCAGAUCGAAGCUGUGUCUGUGACCUACAUCACAGCUCACGGCAAUGCCAGAUCCUUAACAUGCUGAGCGAGGUCAGGGAUCAAACCUGCAACCUCAUGGUUACUAGUCGGAUUCUUAACCCCCUGAGCCACAACGGGAAAUCCUAGGAACACUAGUUUUUUUUCCUUAUGCAUUUAAGAACAUUUUUUUGGAGUUCUCUUGUGGCACAGUAGGUUAAGAAUCCAGCAUUGUCACUGCUGCAGCUUGGGUAGCUAUUGUGAUGGAGGUGCAAUCCCUGGUCCAGGAAGAUCCAUAUGCCAUGGGUGCAAAAAACAAAACAAAACACUUUUCUGAGAAGAGUCCAUAGUCUUCAGAAGACUGUCAAAGGGAGUCUGUGGGACAUAACUGUUGACGAAAAUCUCUAUAUAGAAAUGCAACUGAUUGAUUUCUAUACAAUCAAUUGCAUUUCUAUAUGCUAACAGUGAAAGAUUAGAAAGAGGAAUUAGGGAAACUAUCCCAUUUACCAUCCUAUCAAAAAGAAUAAAAUACCUAGGAAUAAACCUACCUAAAGAGACAAAAGACCUGUACUCUGAGAACUAUAAGACAUUGAUGAAAGAAAUCAAAGACGAUACAAACAGAUGGAAAAAUAUACCAUGUUUUUGAAUUGGAAGGAUCAGAACUGUCAAAAUGACUAUACUACCCAAGGCAAUCUACAGAUUGAAUGCAAUCCCUAUCAAAUCAUCAAGGACAUUCUUCACAGAACCAGAAGAAAACAUCUUAAACUUUGUAUGGAAACAGGAGUUCCCGUCAUGGCUCAGUGGUUAACGAAUCAGACUAGGAAUCAUGAGGUUGCAGGUUUGAUCCCUGACCUUGCUCAGUGGGUUAAGGAUCCGGCAUUGCCGUGAACUGUGGUGUAGGUUGCAAACUCGGCUCAGAUCCCAUGUUGCUGUGGCUCUGGUGUAGGCUGGCAGCUGUAGCUCUGAUUAGACCCGUAGCCUGGGAACCUCCAUAUGCCGCAGGUGCAGCCCUAGAAAAGACAAAAAAGACCAAAAAAAUAAAUAAGUAAAUAAAUAAAAUUUGUAUGGAAACACAAAAGACCCCAAAUAGCCAAAGCAAUAUUGAAAAAGAAAAAUGGAACUGAAGUGAUAAGAUUCCCUGACUUUAGACUAUACUACAAAGCUACAGUCAUCAAAACAGUAUGGCACUGGAGUUCCCUUUGUGGCUCAGCAGUUAAUGAACCCAACUAGGAUCCAUGAGGAUUGGGGUUCAAUCCCUGACCUCACUCGCUCCGUGGGUUAAGGAUCUGGAGGUAAGGUAAACUGCAGUGUAGGUUGAAGACAGGGCUCAGAUCUGGAGUUGCUGUGGCUGUAGUGUAGGCCGGCAGCUGCAGCUGGGGUUCAACCCCUAGUUUGGAAACUUACAUAUGCCAUGGGUGUGGCCCUAAGGAAAAAAAAAAAAAGAAAAGAAAAGAAAAAAGAAAAAAAAUUCCCCUCAAAACAGAAACAGACAUAUGGACCAAUGGAACAGAAAAGAGUGCCCAGAGAUAAACUCAGAUCUUUAUGGUCAAUUAAUCGUCAACAAACGAGGCAAGAAUAUAAAAUGGGAAAAAGAGUCUCUUCAACUCAUGAUGCUGGCAAAACAGGACAGCUGCAUGUAAAUCAAUGAAACUAGAACACACCUUCACAUCAUGCGCAAAAAUAAACUCAAAAUGACUUAAAGACUUAAAUAUAAGAUAAGACGACCAUCAAACUCAUAGAAGAGAACAGAGGCAAAACAUUCUCUGACGUAAACCGUGUAAAUGUUUUCUUAUGUCAAUAUCCCAAGGUAAUAGAAAUAAAAAGAAAAACAAACAAAUGGGUUCUAAUUAAACUUACAGGCUUUUGCACAGCAAAGGAAACCAUAAAAAAAAAAAAAGAAAAAA